GCACUAGAAGGAGAGGUGGUGGUCGACUUGCUCCGGUUCUAAAGGCUUCGGUGGGGACUGUCUGCCAGUGUCAUCCUCCUAGCCCUGGGACUUGGUGGGACAGGCUUCCACGCGGAGACUUCUCUAGCACCCAGAUUUAGGCUGGCGUUGGGCUGGUUUAGUGACAGUCCUUCGUCCGGUAUCUCCACCCGGCGCUGGUCGCCAGGGCUCCCUCUUCGCUCCCUACCGCUGAUUUACAUGCUAAUUAUGUCUGGGAAAAGUUUUUUAAUUGGCAGAAUUAGGCAGAGCAAACGAAUUGUUUCACAGACUGAACCAAAUUAAUUCCGGUUUAGCUCCUUGCUUUGGAGAAACAAACAAUUAAGCUGUCUUGUUUGCUUUAUGGAUAUAUUGCAAGUGCCCCACAUCGCGUUUCAAGAUAUUGUUUAAAGGGUAAUUAUUUUCAAUAUUAAUACUUGUAUGUUUAACUUGUAGUAUCCCCGAGCCACGAGGAGGGAGAUUAAAUUUACCUAAUUUAAAAUUGCGGGAUACAAGAGGGAAAGAAUUUGAAUUUACUUUUGAAGGUAAAGAAAUACCACCCAGAAUCUUCCUGGCAAUUAUUAGAUCCUAAAAUCUCAGUAUCCAAUUAGGCGGCUGGUGUCCUGAACACAUGGUACCACAUUUAUACUUGCCAGAGAAAAAAAGAUGCUCCAAGAACCAGGAAGAAAAGUCAGUCACAAGAAACCUCGUGAAGCCAUUACCCCUUCGCAACCUCAGACUCUCCCCAAAACCUUAUUUAACUUUUCAGCAAAGUCGCUGCCCCUCCGAAGUUCUUGGAGUCUGCAAUGUACCCUGCUACUCAAGAUAAACCGCCAAUGAGAGUAAAGAAUCACCGAACGUUAGAAUUUGAAAACUUGGCAGGUUUUGUACUUUAGCGGCACGGUUGUAGAGUAUUUCAGGAAGCUUCCGCGGUUUAGGCAACAGAUUAGCUGGUCAUCUUGGACGAAUCCCUUAUCUUUCUAGAGUCACAGUUGGCCUACCUGCCCCUGGGGUUUGUAACUGAUUCACUUCCCAGGAAUGUUAUGGAUUAACCAGAGUGCAUGGGGAAUCCAGGACACCCACUUCCUGAUCUAAAGGUGAAUAAAGGCCACCCUGACAUCUAACUGCUGCCUUACAGUGUCUGGCAUCUUUCAGUGAAGAAAAAAAAGAGCCUUGAGACAUAAGAGGCCUCAAGUGUCUUUCCUUUGCUCUCUUUGGGGAAGGCGAGGACAAAGAAGAAGGGGAGGAAAGAAAAACCAAAAAAGAAAGAGGAGGAAGGCAAGAAGAAAAGGGAGGGAAGACAGCCGACUGAGGUUUUCGGGCCCUGCCUGCCCGUCAGCUGGCUCCAUUGCUGGUCCCUAGCAAGUGGAAAGGAUGGUGGAUGAGAGCCACAACAGAGGAAUACCGCUCAGGGGAUGACAACCAGAAAGCAAAGGGCCAGGGGCAAGACACCUUCAAAGAUCCACGGUCUCUGUUCUGCGUCUGGAAGACCCUAAACUCCUCCAAUCCGAUCACCUGCACCUCCUGCAGCUGCCUGGAAUUCUACACGCUGGACUUGGGUCUGACAGCAAGCAAUUAUUUGAAGCAGCUGGAUUCAAGAAGGCCGGAUCACAUGUUAUCACACACGGAGGAAUCAUAGGUUAUGGAAAGCUGAACAAUAUAAUUAUGUUCAUGGAGAGCCACUUACUAAUCGUGAAGGUUGGCCCAGUGUCUUGCAUGCUUGAACUCGUGAGGAAUCUAACAGGGAGCACCUAGUAAAACAGUUGACGAACACAUGAAUCACCAGAGGAACCCACACACAGCACCUGGGAUCGAUGACUAGAUAUUGUCUACUCAGAAACUUGGAGGUACAGUCAACAACUGAGCAUAUAAACCCUCUCCUUCCCAUUCCAACUCUGACAGCCAUGUCUUUAUAUUUUGGGGAACAGACCACCUACAUGGAUACCUGGUUUUCCACACAUUUGAACUUAUUUCUCCUAGGUUGGCCUGUCUUGCCCCCAAGAGUUUUUGUAGGAAGACAUAACUAAUGCAGGAAUGCUUCUUGC
Molecule: long non-coding RNA, 2060 nt
Organism: Alexandromys fortis (reed vole)
Lineage: Eukaryota; Metazoa; Chordata; Mammalia; Rodentia; Cricetidae
Exons: 7
Source: RefSeq, a predicted model, not a curated record